GGAUCUGUCUGUCGGUCGGGCUUUAUUGUCCGCACUGAUUCGAUGGAUUCUUACCUUCUGAAUAACCAUCAUGCCAUUAAUUUGGUGCGUUGGGGAAGCAGAGCUAUUACCUUGAAAAAUUAGAGUGCUUAAAGCAGGCUAGUGCUUGAAUAGAUUAGCAUGGAAUAAUAAAAUAGGACGGCAUGGUUCUAUUUUGUUGGUUUCUAGGAUCACCGUAAUGAU
This 222-nucleotide ribosomal RNA is filed under the name uncultured Glomeromycotina. RNAcentral describes it as "partial 18S ribosomal RNA". The stretch from base 47 to 222 matches the Rfam family "Eukaryotic small subunit ribosomal RNA", at positions 692 to 869 of the family's 1831-position model. Lineage: Eukaryota; Fungi; Glomeromycota. The record is from RNAcentral.